UGCCAGUGAUAAACUGGAGGAAGGUGGGGAUGACGUCAAGUCAUCAUGGCCCUUACGAGUAGGGCUACACACGUGCUACAAUGGCGCAUACAAAGAGAAGCGACCUCGCGAGAGCAAGCGGACCUCAUAAAGUGCGUCGUAGUCCGGAUUGGAGUCUGCAACUCGACUCCAUGAAGUCGGAAUCGCUAGUAAUCGUAGAUCAGAAUGCUACGGUGAAUACGUUCCCGGGCCUUGUACACACCGCCCGUCACACCAUGGGAGUGGGUUGCAAAAGAAGUAGGUAGCUUAACCUUCGGGAGGGCGCUUACCACUUUGUGAUUCAUGACUGGGGUGAAGUCGUAACAAGGUAACCGUAGGGGAACCUGCGGUUGGAUCA
This 376-nucleotide ribosomal RNA is filed under the name Enterobacter roggenkampii. RNAcentral's name for it is "bacterial SSU rRNA". It matches the Rfam family "Bacterial small subunit ribosomal RNA", at positions 1150 to 1525 of the family's 1533-position model. Lineage: Bacteria; Pseudomonadati; Pseudomonadota; Gammaproteobacteria; Enterobacterales; Enterobacteriaceae. The record is from RNAcentral.